This 354-nucleotide unclassified non-coding RNA is filed under the name soil metagenome. RNAcentral describes it as "partial contains 5.8S ribosomal RNA, internal transcribed spacer 2, and large subunit ribosomal RNA". The stretch from base 1 to 120 matches the Rfam family "5.8S ribosomal RNA", at positions 35 to 154 of the family's 154-position model. The record is from RNAcentral.
GAUGAAGAACGUAGUGAAAUGCGAUACGUAAUGUGAAUUGCAGAAUUCAGUGAAUCAUCGAGUCUUUGAACGCACAUUGCGCCUCCUGGUAUUCCGGGAGGCAUGCCUGUUCGAGCGUCAUUAAAAUCACUCAAGCUUAGGUUUACCUAUUGCUUGGUCUUGGAGAUGGAAGCCAAUUUAUUGGAAUCCUCUUCGAAAUUCAAUGGCGAAGACCCUUGCUCUCCCAAGUGUAGUAAUAACUUAUGUCACUGAAGGAAGCGAGAAAUCUUCUGCCGUAACCCCCAUAUUUUCUAUGAUUGACCUCGGAUCAGGUAGGGAUACCCGCUGAACUUAAGCAUAUCAAUAAGCGGAGGA